CAGUAGCCGCGGUAAUACGAGGGGGGCAAGCGUUGUUCGGAAUUAUUGGGCGUAAAGGGCGCGUAGGCGGUUUGGCAAGUUUGGUGUGAAAUCUUCGGGCUCAACUCGAAGUCUGCAUCGAAAACUGCCGGGCUUGAGUAUGGGAGAGGUGAGUGGAAUUUCCGGUGUAGCGGUGAAAUGCGUAGAUAUCGGAAGGAACACCUGUGGCGAAAGCGGCUCACUGGACCAUUACUGACGCUGAGGCGCGAAAGCUAGGGGAGCAAACAGGAUUAGAUACCCCUGUAGUCCCUGUCUCUUAUAC
RNAcentral lists this ribosomal RNA (301 nucleotides) under uncultured bacterium. RNAcentral describes it as "partial 16S ribosomal RNA". It matches the Rfam family "Bacterial small subunit ribosomal RNA", at positions 509 to 807 of the family's 1533-position model. The record is from RNAcentral.